This 173-nucleotide ribosomal RNA is filed under the name Candidatus Berkelbacteria bacterium CG23_combo_of_CG06-09_8_20_14_all_41_73. Its description in RNAcentral is "partial 23S ribosomal RNA". It matches the Rfam family "Bacterial large subunit ribosomal RNA", at positions 1978 to 2150 of the family's 2925-position model. The record is from RNAcentral. Lineage: Bacteria; Candidatus Berkelbacteria.
AAGUUCCGACCCGCACGAAUGGCGUAACGAUCUGGGCACUGUCUCAACGAGGGAUCCGGUGAAAUUACAAUGCCGGUAAAGAUGCCGGCUACCUGCAGCAAGACGGAAAGACCCCGUGGAGCUUUACUAUAGUUAGAUAUUGAAUCUAGGAUUUAGAUGUGUAGAAUAGGUGG